CCUACGGGGCGCAGCAGUGGGGGAUAUUGCACAAUGGGGGAAACCCUGAUGCAGCGACGCCGCGUGAGUGAAGAAGUAUUUCGGUAUGUAAAGCUCUAUCAGCAGGGAAGAAAAUGACAGUACCUGACCAAGAAUCCCCGGCGAACUACGUAACAGCAGCCGCGGUAAUACGUAGGGGGCAAGCGUUAUACGGAUUUACUGGGUGUAAAGGGAGCGUAGACGGUUAUGUAAGUCUGGAGUGAAAGCCCGGGGCCCAACCCCAGGAUUGCUUUGGAAACUGUGAAACUGGAGUACAGGAGGGGCAGGCGGAAUUCGUGGUGUAGCGGUGAAAUGCGUAGAUAUCAGGAGGAACACCGGCGGCGAAGGCGGCCUGCUGGACUGAAACUGACGUUGAGGCUCGAAAGUGUGGGUAGCAAACAGGAUUAGAUACCCUUGUAGUC
RNAcentral lists this ribosomal RNA (440 nucleotides) under uncultured bacterium. RNAcentral's name for it is "partial 16S ribosomal RNA". It matches the Rfam family "Bacterial small subunit ribosomal RNA", at positions 338 to 795 of the family's 1533-position model. The record is from RNAcentral.